CGGGUGAGUAACGCGUAAACAACCUGCCCUUCGGAUGGGGACAACAGCUGGAAACGGCUGCUAAUACCGAAUACGUUCUUUUCAUCGCAUUGUGAGAAGAAGAAAGGACGGCCUCUACACAAAGCGGUCGCCGAAGGAGGGGUUUGCGUCUGAUUAGCUAGUUGGAGGGGUAACGGCCCAACAAGGCGACGAUCAGUAGCCGGUCUGAGAGGAUGAACGGCCACAUUGGGACUGAGACACGGCCCAGACUCCUACGGGAGGCAGCAGCU
Molecule: ribosomal RNA, 269 nt
Filed under: uncultured Megasphaera sp.
Lineage: Bacteria; Bacillati; Bacillota; Negativicutes; Veillonellales; Veillonellaceae
Description: partial 16S ribosomal RNA
Rfam family: Bacterial small subunit ribosomal RNA
Source: RNAcentral